GCUUGGGUGGCUUAGUUGGUUAAGUGUCUGACUUUGGCUCAGAUCAUGAUCUCAUGGUUUGUGAGUUCAAGCCCCACAUCAGGCU
Molecule: transfer RNA, 85 nt
Filed under: Felis catus (domestic cat)
Lineage: Eukaryota; Metazoa; Chordata; Mammalia; Carnivora; Felidae
Rfam family: tRNA
About the family: Transfer RNA (tRNA) molecules are approximately 80 nucleotides in length. Their secondary structure includes four short double-helical elements and three loops (D, anti-codon, and T loops). Further hydrogen bonds mediate the characteristic L-shaped molecular structure. tRNAs have two regions of fundamental functional importance: the anti-codon, which is responsible for specific mRNA codon recognition, and the 3' end, to which the tRNAs corresponding amino acid is attached (by aminoacyl-tRNA synthetases). tRNAs cope with the degeneracy of the genetic code in two manners: having more than one tRNA (with a specific anti-codon) for a particular amino acid; and 'wobble' base-pairing, i.e. permitting non-standard base-pairing at the 3rd anti-codon position.
Source: Rfam by way of RNAcentral